RNAcentral lists this ribosomal RNA (445 nucleotides) under Argyroneta aquatica (water spider). RNAcentral's name for it is "eukaryotic LSU rRNA". The stretch from base 205 to 445 matches the Rfam family "Eukaryotic large subunit ribosomal RNA", at positions 665 to 875 of the family's 3401-position model. The record is from RNAcentral. Lineage: Eukaryota; Metazoa; Arthropoda; Arachnida; Araneae; Dictynidae.
GGCCCUUUGUGGCCCGAAUUCCGUUUCCUCCCCCUGGUAGGAAGCCGGGACCGAGCGGCGCGGAUGGACCACGCAGGCCGUCGCACCCCACGAGUGGUGGACGGGCGAGCGGUAGGUUCCUUCGUCGGCGUCGCCGGACCCGUGGGAGGCCGGAGGCUUGCGGCGAGUAGGUCGGUCACCCACCCGACCCGUCUUGAAACACGGACCAAGGAGUCUAACAUGUGCGCGAGUCAGCGGGUCUUGUUCAGGCCCACAGGCGCAAUGAAAGCAAAGGCGCGGCCCAGGCCCGCCGAGUUGGGAUCCCCGCCUUCAACGGCGGGGCGCACCAACGACCCGUCCUCUCCGGCUCGCCGGUCGGGCGGAGUGUGAGCGUACACGUUGGGACCCGAUAGAUGGUGAACUAUGCCCGAACAGGACGAAGCCAGAGGAAACUCUGGUGGAGGUC